GAGUUUGAUCCUGGCUCAGGACGAACGCUGGCGGCGUGCUUAACACAUGCAAGUCGAACGAUGAUGCCCAGCUUGCUGGGCGGAUUAGUGGCGAACGGGUGAGUAAUACGUGAGUAACCUGCCCUUGACUCUGGGAUAAGCCUGGGAAACUGGGUCUAAUACUGGAUACUACCUCUUACCGCAUGGUGGGUGGUGGAAAGGGUUUUACUGGUUUUGGACGGGCUCACGGCCUAUCAGCUUGUUGGUGGGGUAAUGGCUCACCAAGGCGACGACGGGUAGCCGGCCUGAGAGGGUGACCGGCCACACUGGGACUGAGACACGGCCCAGACUCCUACGGGAGGCAGCAGUGGGGAAUAUUGCACAAUGGGCAGAAGCCUGAUGCAGCGACGCCGCGUGAGGGAUGACGGCCUUCGGGUUGUAAACCUCUUUCAGUAGGGAAGAAGCGAGAGUGACGGUACCUGCAGAAGAAGCGCCGGCUAACUACGUGCCAGCAGCCGCGGUAAUACGUAGGGCGCAAGCGUUGUCCGGAAUUAUUGGGCGUAAAGAGCUCGUAGGCGGUUUGUCGCGUCUGCUGUGAAAGCCCGGGGCUCAACCCCGGGUCUGCAGUGGGUACGGGCAGACUAGAGUGCAGUAGGGGAGACUGGAAUUCCUGGUGUAGCGGUGAAAUGCGCAGAUAUCAGGAGGAACACCGAUGGCGAAGGCAGGUCUCUGGGCUGUUACUGACGCUGAGGAGCGAAAGCAUGGGGAGCGAACAGGAUUAGAUACCCCGGUAGUCCAUGCCGUAAACGUUGGGCACUAGGUGUGGGGGACAUUCCACGUUUUCCGCGCCGUAGCUAACGCAUUAAGUGCCCCGCCUGGGGAGUACGGCCGCAAGGCUAAAACUCAAAGGAAUUGACGGGGGCCCGCACAAGCGGCGGAGCAUGCGGAUUAAUUCGAUGCAACGCGAAGAACCUUACCAAGGCUUGACAUUCACCGGACCGCCCCAGAGAUGGGGUUUCCCUUCGGGGCUGGUGGACAGGUGGUGCAUGGUUGUCGUCAGCUCGUGUCGUGGGAUGUUGGGUUAAGUCCCGCAACGAGCGCAACCCUCGUUCUAUGUUGCCAGCACGUGAUGGUGGGGACUCAUAGGAGACUGCCGGGGUCAACUCGGAGGAAGGUGGGGAUGACGUCAAAUCAUCAUGCCCCUUAUGUCUUGGGCUUCACGCAUGCUACAAUGGCCGGUACAAAGGGUUGCGAUACUGUGAGGUGGAGCUAAUCCCAAAAAGCCGGUCUCAGUUCGGAUUGAGGUCUGCAACUCGACCUCAUGAAGUCGGAGUCGCUAGUAAUCGCAGAUCAGCAACGCUGCGGUGAAUACGUUCCCGGGCCCCUUGUACACACCGCCCGUC
RNAcentral lists this ribosomal RNA (1382 nucleotides) under uncultured bacterium. RNAcentral's name for it is "bacterial SSU rRNA". It matches the Rfam family "Bacterial small subunit ribosomal RNA". The record is from RNAcentral.